GGUCUGAGAGGAUGAUCCGCCACACUGGGACUGAGACACGGCCCAGACUCCUACGGGAGGCAGCAGUGGGGAAUUUUGGACAAUGGGCGCAAGCCUGAUCCAGCCAUGCCGCGUGUCUGAAGAAGGCCUUCGGGUUGUAAAGGACUUUUGUCCGGGAGCAAAUCCCAGUGGUUAAUACCUAUUGGGGCUGAGAGUACCGGAAGAAUAAGCACCGGCUAACUACGUGCCAGCAGCCGCGGUAAUACGUAGGGUGCAAGCGUUAAUCGGAAUUACUGGGCGUAAAGCGUGCGCAGGCGGUUGUGCAAGUCUGAUGUGAAAGCCCCGGGCUUAACCUGGGAACGGCAUUGGAGACUG
This 354-nucleotide ribosomal RNA is filed under the name bacterium LimC-10-A-276. RNAcentral describes it as "bacterial SSU rRNA". It matches the Rfam family "Bacterial small subunit ribosomal RNA", at positions 289 to 635 of the family's 1533-position model. The record is from RNAcentral.